CCUACGGGUGGCUGCAGUGAGGAAUAUUGCGCAAUGGGGGAAACCCUGACGCAGCGACGCCGCGUGAGUGAGGAAGGCCUUCGGGUCGUAAAGCUCUGUCAAGAGGAAAGAAGUGUACAAUGGCUAAUACCUGUUGUAUUUGACGGUACCUCUAAAGGAAGCACCGGCUAACUCCGUGCCAGCAGCCGCGGUAAUACGGAGGGUGCAAGCGUUGUUCGGAAUCACUGGGCGUAAAGGGCGCGUAGGCGGCUGGGUAAGUCAGAUGUGAAAGCCCACGGCUUAACUGUGGAAGUGCAUUUGAAACUGUCAGGCUUGAGUACCAGAGGGGAAAGUGGAAUUCCCGGUGUAGAGGUGAAAUUCGUAGAUAUCGGGAGGAAUACCGGUGGAGAAGUCGGUCUACUGGGGUGCACCAGACGCUGAGGCCCGAAAGCUAGGGGAGCAAACCGGAUUAGAUACCCUGGU
This 462-nucleotide ribosomal RNA is filed under the name uncultured Desulfobulbus sp. Its description in RNAcentral is "bacterial SSU rRNA". It matches the Rfam family "Bacterial small subunit ribosomal RNA", at positions 338 to 791 of the family's 1533-position model. Lineage: Bacteria; Pseudomonadati; Thermodesulfobacteriota; Desulfobulbia; Desulfobulbales; Desulfobulbaceae. The record is from RNAcentral.